GCAAAAACAUAAACAAUUAACAAUAAAAAUCGCUAAGAGAGAGAAAACAACAAUGGAUGAGAAGAGAGAGAAAGACUCCUUUUUUUGCCUUUGUUUCCCGUUAUUUUAGGUAUACAUUGGGAUUAAAGUGUAAAUUUAAAAACUUGUGGGCUAUUUUAAAAUUUUCCCAACUUUCUUAAUACAUAAUAAAAUAAUUGUCACCUCCAACUAAUAA
This 214-nucleotide long non-coding RNA is filed under the name Capsicum annuum. RNAcentral describes it as "long non-coding RNA (CANN_LNC010711)". Lineage: Eukaryota; Viridiplantae; Streptophyta; Magnoliopsida; Solanales; Solanaceae. The record is from RNAcentral.